Molecule: long non-coding RNA, 566 nt
Organism: Cydia fagiglandana
Lineage: Eukaryota; Metazoa; Arthropoda; Insecta; Lepidoptera; Tortricidae
Exons: 3
Source: RefSeq, a predicted model, not a curated record
CGAAGAUAGAUCGCGCUGUUAAGAUUUUUCCACGAACUACCUGGUCAUUUGGGCGAUACACUGGUUAGGUAAGGUUUUGAGUUAGGUUAGGUUUUGAGUUAGGUUAGGUUUUGAGUUAGGUUAGGUUUUGAGUUAGGUUAGGUUUUGAGUUAGGUUAGGUUUUGAGUUAGGUUAGGUUUUGAGUUAGGUUAGGUUUUGAGUUAGGUUAGGUUUUGAGUUAGGUUAGGUUUUGAGUUAGGUUAGGUUUUGAGUUAGGUUAGGUUUUGAGUUAGGUUAGGUUUUGAGUUAGGUUGGGGCGCUAGGUCGGGUAACCUCCACGAGGGUCUGGGCCAUUCCAAUUUCUGUUAAUCCUUGCGGAUUCGCAGUCAAGGGAAUGGUUUAUGGCUGGUGCGCCCUGGGGGCAACGGUAAGUGAUCUCCUGCGUGGGAUUGCUUACUGGUGCUGCCAAUAACCCGACACCCGGGGUUUAGCCCGGGGGGGGGGGGAGGGCGUUCUUGGAGUGUCUCUGUGAUCUCCUAGGCUAUACCGGACAGGGCUACCCAUACCGGGCAGGCGAAGAGUGAGGG